This 442-nucleotide ribosomal RNA is filed under the name uncultured bacterium. RNAcentral describes it as "partial 16S ribosomal RNA". It matches the Rfam family "Bacterial small subunit ribosomal RNA", at positions 338 to 795 of the family's 1533-position model. The record is from RNAcentral.
CCUACGGGUGGCUGCAGUGGGGAAUAUUGGGCAAUGGGCGCAAGCCUGACCCAGCAACGCCGCGUGAAGGAAGAAGGCUUCCGGGUUGUAAACUUCUUUUGUCAGGGAAGAGUAGAAGACGGUACCUGACGAAUAAGCCACGGCUAACUACGUGCCAGCAGCCGCGGUAAUACGUGGGUGGCAAGCGUUGUUCGGAAUUACUGGGUGUAAAGGAUGUGUAGGCGGGUUGACAAGUGAGAUGUGAAAUCCUGCGGUGUAACCGCAGAACAGCAUUUGAAACUGUUUAUCUUGAGUACUGGAGAGGCAAGCGGAAUGCCUAGUGUAGCGGUGAAAUGCGUAGAUAUUAGGAAGAACACCAGUGGCGAAGGCGGUCUACUGGACAGGAACUGACGGUGAGGCACGAAAGCGUGGGGAGCAAACAGGAUUAGAUACCCUGGUAGUC